This 125-nucleotide small RNA is filed under the name Marmota monax (woodchuck). Lineage: Eukaryota; Metazoa; Chordata; Mammalia; Rodentia; Sciuridae. The record is from RNAcentral.
GCUGGGCACAGUGGUGCAUGCCUGUAAUCCCAGAGACUUGGGAGGCUGAGGCAGGAGGAUCACGAGUUCAAAGCCAGCUUCAGCAAUUUAGCGACACUAAGCAACUCAGUGAGAUCCUGUCUCUA